RNA transcript from Sorghum bicolor (sorghum), 1500 nucleotides. It is a transcript of the gene named dirigent protein 5, with no coding region annotated. The transcript is spliced from 2 exons. The record is from RefSeq and is a predicted model, not a curated record. NCBI's taxonomy places the organism in Eukaryota, Viridiplantae, Streptophyta, Magnoliopsida, Poales, Poaceae.
AUAUCACUUCGUAUAUAUACAACAGCUCUAUAAAUACGCAAUGCACGGCUCAAGGUCACACACAAUACAAACAAGAGAGCUAGCUCUAGCUGCUCCAGUAACUAGCUAGCUGCUUAAGCUUCUCUAAGUGAUCUCUCCCUAGUCCCUAUACAGCACUGACAUUUUUAUAUCUACAUUUAGACGGAGUUGCACCGACGAUUAUAUUAACAGUAAUAAUGCAGGGCCUCACGCCAUUAUCUUACAAGCUCAGCUUGAUCAGUAUCGUCGUCAUCUUGCUGACCACCGGCAUCGUCGGCGUCGCCCAUGGCCGCAAGAAGCUCGUCUCGAGCUCCGACGGCGAGCCGUGCCACAAGAUGACGGUCUACUGCCACGACAUCCUCUACGACGGCACCAACACGGCGAACGCGACGUCGGCGGUGGCGGCGCAGCCGACGCUGCUGAGCAGGUCGGUGUCCGUCAACGACACCUUCUUCGGUGAGGUGGUGGUGUUCAACGACGUGGUGACGGCGGGGCGCGCGCUGGCGUCGGAGCCGGUGGCGCGCGCCGAGGGCUUCUACUUCUACGACAAGAAGGAGUCGCUGAGCGCAUGGUUCGCCUUCUCGCUCGUGUUCAACUCCACGGCGCACAGGGGCACGCUCAACCUCAUGGGCGCCGACAUCAUCGCCGACAAGACACGGGACAUCUCCGUCGUUGGCGGCACCGGCGACUUCUUCAUGGCGCGCGGCGUCGCCACCCUUCGAACCGACGCCUUUGAGGGCCUCAACUACUUCAGGCUGCAGAUGGAUAUCAAGCUCUACGAGUGCUACGUCUAAUAAAGUCUAGUCACGCGCUGCUUCAAACGUGGCAAGAUAUAGAUGUUGGUUUGAUCUCCCACCAAUAUGGCCCAACGGCCUUAUUGGGCCUUGUCUCGCGCCCUGAUCGGGGGCGCCCAACCCUAUAUGGUUGGUGGGCCCCGUCGCACUGCGCUAUAAAUAAGAGGUGGGGGCCGGCGGCACUGUUCACGAGUUGAAUAGUUGCCACUCCUCCCCACCGACAUCCACAAACCCUAGAAACCCUAACAGAUCCAGGGAGCGCAGCCAGCGACGGGAAAACUCACCGACGCCGGAUCUGCGCCACCUCGACAUCCGCAUCACCGCCACCAUCGACGUCCUCGAAGAUCCACUCCACCACCGACGUGAUGGCCUCGGGAUCGUCUUCCGCCGCCCCUGCUGCUCCUUCUCUCGACGAUAUUUCUUUCACUAUUAAAUUCGAACCAACGGGAGAAUUUAAUCUUUGAACAUAGAUAUGUUUUCCAGAUUAUUAUAAUAUUGUUAUUAUUCUGACCAACGUUGAUUAAUGGCAGUAUUAUGAUGUGAUUAAAAGAUUAUUAUGCAUUAAUUCUAUUUCUGCCCAACGGUGAUAUAGUUUUAUUGCAUAAACAGUUGUAUGUUUUAAUUUUGACCAACGUUGAUACUAAGGCAUACAAUUGUGAUUAUUUAUGUUCUCACCCAGAGGUUUGUG